UAAAAAAAAAAAAAAAAUCAAGCAUGUAGGUGGGCAAAGUGAACUCUUUACAUAACAUGCAACACAUGCCACACAAAGGGAAGAUAUCUAAGGGACCAUGCUUAGUGUGUUCUUUUGUUAGCAUCUUUUCUCACUGGCAGAGAAACAGCAGCUUCUACAGAAAAUAAGUCACAGUCCUUAUUUCAUACAGUGGUGCUAUUUUUAUCUCCCAGCUCCCCUGUGGAUAUUUAUUAUAAGAUAUAUUAUUUACAACAAUGGCUUUAUAUGCAUAUUUUAGUUCAUUUUGUUGCAUUCCUCCUUUAUCAUUUGUAUUCCAUGCCUUUACCUACUACAAUGACCCUUCAUAAGAUAUAUAGUAAUUGAUUGCUGUCAGGAAUACAAAUAAAACUGAGAAAGAGAGAGAGGGAGGGAGAUUACAAAAGUCAGAGCUGAAAUGUCCUUUACUUACUUGCCUUGCCUUGUCUCAUUUUCUUCCUCUUUGGUCUAAAAACUGUGCUUUCUUCCAUUAAGCUAAGUAAAAACUUUCUGAGAAGAGCAAUUGAAGCUGAAGGAAGCUCACUCUUCAGUUGCUAUACUAGGAAGUGGAAAUGAAGUUGCUCGGUUCUGCUCUCAACUUUAUUUACUCUAAAAGGCAUUUCUAUAAAAAGCUGCAAAACCAAGGGGUCUGAGAUCUGACACCUGAAAUGGCUGCAAUCACACAAAGGCACCCCUUUUCACGUCCCUUGUUGAUUGACCCAUCCCAUCCUGCCUUUCAACACACAGCCCAUAACUCUAUAUUUAGGGCAGUGGCCGGCCAUAUGCUGUAUACAUGUUCCAGACACGUCUCACUCCUCUCUUGGAUGGCUUCCCCUGUGAAUUUGGUGUUAAACUCAGGACUGUGUUCCCAGCUCAGCUCAGCUGCUUACUGUGUGACAUUACACACUUUUCUGGAGCUUUCCUGGGUUUCAUGCUCUAUAAAAUAAUAAACAAUAGUGACAGCUCA
This is a non-coding RNA of Macaca mulatta (Rhesus monkey), 982 nucleotides long. The record is from RefSeq and is a predicted model, not a curated record. NCBI's taxonomy places the organism in Eukaryota, Metazoa, Chordata, Mammalia, Primates, Cercopithecidae.